Molecule: long non-coding RNA, 2139 nt
Organism: Cynoglossus semilaevis (tongue sole)
Lineage: Eukaryota; Metazoa; Chordata; Actinopteri; Pleuronectiformes; Cynoglossidae
Exons: 3
Source: RefSeq, a predicted model, not a curated record
AUCCACAAGGCAUGUUGGACGUCAAGAUGGUGCUUAAAGCUCCAGGAACAAUAAGUGAAUGAACAGACAUACAGUGCUCGUCAUUCUGUAGAUUGUCUUUCUUGCUUAAAUACAGUUGAAAAAAAAGGGGGAGAAAACACAUCAGGUCCAUGACGUCCAUUCAUUUUCAUCUCCGUCAUCUCUCCGUACAUCAGGUGGACGGCUGCUGUCAGUGGUGUUUCUCUUUGUGCUGCUGGAGAUUAGUGACCACUGCAGGGAUGAACGGGUUUUUGUGAGAGUGAUGAAAAAGGAAAGUCACAGGAGUUUAUCUGCCACUGAUCCACGACACAUGAGAUUUAGGAACAUAAACCGAAACUACAGUACAUUGAAGGAGGAACAGUCAAACCUUUGAUGCUUUGGCCAAAUGAUUACACGGGGUGAGCUGUGGUACAGUAGACUAAUGGAGCAUGACCAUCAUCCACCGCCUUCAAUGGGUGGAGCAUUAGCUGAAUAGGCUCUUCCUGUCAGAAUAUCCUUUCUUUAGGUUUAUCUUUAGCAAAGCUGGUGAUUUCUGAUGCUGUGAUUUAUGGCUUACAUGUAGAAAAUGAUGAUUUGCAUAAAAAAGGAGCGCAUUUUUAACUUCAUUUUCUUAGAACAUACCAGCAAUAUCUUGCUGUUCAUGGCUACAUUUAAAUGAUUUGAAGCCUUAAUGUUUUAAAGAUGACACAAACCUGUGCACACGGCUGAAAAACACUCCGCUAAUACACUCAUGUUCCUGCCGAAUGUGAGCUGUCGUUGAACACAGGGUCUAAAAUUGUAUGUCCCAGUGGGUGGCUGACACUUUGCUACAGGGGCAACAAACAACACUGGCCUCACACUGUUCUAAUAGCCAACAGCUGCAUUUGCGAGCAAAGCUACUAAAAAAUGGGGGAAUCCUUGUGUAAAUCACUCGUUCAUAAUCUGUUUCUGCUGCAACAAGCCUGGUCUGCCGCCAGCUGUGGGCUGAAUGAAAACAAGCCAAAGUCAUCAAAGCAGCCCAUCUAUAAUCCAUCCCCAGGAUACAGCCCAAAAAAGGAACAACAGAGAUAUGAAAGUGCUGUCUUUGUUUCCGUGUAAUCAAUACAGGCAGAGGAUAAUAUUUACUGCUGUGUGGUGCAGUGUGAAGAGUGGAUACAAGUUGAACAAAGAGAUAAAACUCUGGCACGUGUUUCGUCUUUACUAUCUUCACUUGACACAGGCAAGAAACUAAUCACAGACCAGGGGAUUAAGGAAAAGGUAGUUGUGAUUUAAAUUAUAUUAGACCAUAAUUGACAUAUACAAGGAUAAUUCUAGGGGAUGAGGCAGUAGUUAAAGAAGACAGAAACACAAAUUCUGGAAUGUCUGCAGAAAUCAUCAAGACAUGAAAUGUCGGUAAAAAGGUACAAUUUCUAAGGUACAGAGUAUUUUAAAGUGAGAUACUCUAAUAUUGUUCAUGUCCUGAGGCGGAGGUUUAACAAUCAAGCAUGUGGUUCCUCUGCUCUCUGCUUCUGAGGAAGGCAUGCUAAACUCUACACUGUGGAACAUACCCCGCCUUCCUGUUUCCCCAGGGUUAUUUAGUGUCAUCACACUCACCUGUGUCCUGUCCUUCUCUGCUAAUCAGUCUCACUCAGCUCAUAUGGUGUCCUGCGUUCAUAUACCUCUCUCCCUCACCCUUCCUCUCUGUCAGUCACUGCUGGAUCGUCCUCCUCAUUGUCCCUGUUCUGUGGGUCUGAAGAUUAUGAUUUCUGAUGUCCCUGUGAUAACAUCACUGCAGGUCCGCAGUUUGGCAGGAACCCACUGUUAUCACUGCUCUGGAGGAAAUUAUAGCUUUAUCAUGUGGCUCAGGAGCGUUGUCAGCCCACCUCAGUGAAGUAGAGAGACACCUGGACUGUCUUGGUUUCUGGAAGACAACUCAACUCCUGUCCAAGAGGAUUCUUCAGCUCAAUCGACUUCAACUUCACUGCCUUAGAUAAAAAAUACCUGGAUGACCCUAAAAGCUAUGAAUUAAAAAAUAACUUUACUUUUUGGGCUAUUUAUUUUACUUGGAAUCCACUUGAUUCCUACAUAUAACAUAUUUAUAAAAAAUAUCUGACACAUCGCCAUAAUAUUGUGUCUUUAGCAGUCAUUCGGACUCACGUCCAA